UCAUUAUUAGGAUUAUUGUCUUUAUUAUUAUUAUUUGGUGUGUCGUCUGCACUGCCUCUGAUCUCUGUCCUCAUCUGUAUAUAGGUAGGUUUGUGUGUGUUUGUGUGUUGCUGUUUCUGUGGCCAAGUUACAGGCAUCUUCAGGCCUGAGGGGUGUGGUCUGGCUUGAGGACUGGCCACACCCGAAGUCCUUGCCACACACCUGCUCCUCAUCUGGGCUCGUCGGGGGAGCUAUUUAGAGGAGUGAUGGAGCUUCCACCGACGCUGGAUUAUUGCGUUUGACUACAUGAGGAGUGUGGGACGAGAAGGAGCAGUGAGCACGGGGAGUGCAGUCCAGAAAACCAUCACAGCUGAGUCUGGAGACAGAGUCACUCUGCCAUGUCGAGCUCCAAACAACAGACACAUCACAGUUGUAGACUGGAGGAGAUCUGGCCUGACAGAUAAAUCUGUCCUUCUCUACCGGGACAAUAAAUAUGAUCCAGAUGAGCAGGAUCCAUCUUUUAAGAACCGGGUGGCUCUGCAGGAUGUGAAGGAUGGAGACGUGUCUCUGAUUCUGAAGAAUGUGACAACUCAUGAUACUGGAAUAUAUGAGUGUCGUGUUGACCAACAGACAGAAUCACACCGCAGGAAGAGAGCUGUUGACCCCAUCAGCAGCACCUACCUGAGAGUGGGUCAGACAGGAGGAGACACAGAGGAUGGAGGGAAGGAGGAUGGAUCUGUUAGACCGAGAGUGGGUGUGUCUGUUUGUGCUGUGCUUCUUGUUGCUGUUGUUGGUUUUCUGAUCUACAGAAAACAUAACCAACAACAGAAUCAGGACCCAUACCAGCCUCCUGCUGAACAGCAGCAGCUCUGAUUUGUUUCCAAGCUAUCCACAGUAUAACUGUGAGUCUCCUGCUGCUGUUUCAAACUCUCAGUGCUCUCAUUAAAUUCAGGGAAAGACAGACAAUCUGAAUUUGUUCUUUUAUGUCUUCACAAACACAAUGACUUGUACCACAUUAACUGAUAUCACAUUUGUUAAACAUUGUUUUACUUUCAGUGUUUCUGUUUGUUCUGUCACACUAAACCAAGUCUCGAGCUUUCGGCUCCAUCAGACCAUAAAAUACUAAAUUGAACAGAGGACAGACAGCACACAGGAGGACACUCCACAAAGACACAAGGAUAAUGGAUCUUUGAAGGACACAAUGAGUCAAUCCACUGUUGGAUCCACUGCUUAGUGUGUGAGAACAAACAAAAACCUCAAAGUAAACAUCAUAUGAUAUCAGUUAAAAUAUAAAGAAAAAUAUAUUUUUUUGCUUUAAAAGUUACUAAUUCAUGCCAGGUUUAAUCUUGUGUUAUCUGAAACCAGCAAAAGUCAGAUGGUCGUUUAAAGUUUUCUCUGCCCAACACAUUUGUCCCCACUUUGGUGAGGUUGACACAGCAGCAGGUCACAUGCACUCACAGCAGUGGAUUCAGACUGACAGUAUUCUGCUUACUAAACCUGAUCCAUAAUAUUCAGAUAUUCUGCUUCCUUUUACAAACCACAUACGUGUCCAUGUCCUGUUCAUAUUACUUAGUGUCUUUAACCAGAAACAUAGUUUUUCCUUGAUUGUUUUUAAAUGAGUCAAAACAGUGAAACCAGGUGACCAUGUAAAGGAUUACAAGGUAAUCCUUUACAUGUUUAAAUGCAUCAGAAACUAAUUAAAAGUACUAUUAAUAAUAACAGUAAUGGUAAAACAUCAACUAAAUUAAUUAAAGAUUAAUAAA
Molecule: long non-coding RNA, 1742 nt
Organism: Oreochromis niloticus (Nile tilapia)
Lineage: Eukaryota; Metazoa; Chordata; Actinopteri; Cichliformes; Cichlidae
Product: butyrophilin subfamily 2 member A2
Exons: 5
Source: RefSeq, a predicted model, not a curated record